UGUUUGAUUAAAGGUGAACCCUCAUAGCUUAUGGUAUUCAAAGGUUAAAUCAUCACAAAUCUUCGAUUCUACAAGCUCCGGAAGGAGGUUCGGCGCGUGGAUCUCGCGUGAAGCCGAGGAUUCGGUGGACGCUUCGAGGAAUUGAGGCGUUGACGCUGCGAGGAGUUGCAGCAAGGUCGAUUGGUGGAUUCCUAUCGAUCGAGGACCGGCGAAGAUCA
RNAcentral lists this long non-coding RNA (218 nucleotides) under Ananas comosus (pineapple). RNAcentral's name for it is "long non-coding RNA (ACOM_LNC038578)". Lineage: Eukaryota; Viridiplantae; Streptophyta; Magnoliopsida; Poales; Bromeliaceae. The record is from RNAcentral.